Fukomys damarensis (Damara mole-rat) is the source of this 219-nucleotide long non-coding RNA. RefSeq lists it as uncharacterized. NCBI's taxonomy places the organism in Eukaryota, Metazoa, Chordata, Mammalia, Rodentia, Bathyergidae. The record is from RefSeq and is a predicted model, not a curated record. The transcript has 3 exons.
AAAAGCGUUAAGGAUGAAUGGUGUGCACUAUGGAGUUCUCUGCCAUAUUUUUGAUGACUCCAUGUCAAUAGGUGACACUGUAGGACACUAGGUGUGGGACUGGGCCUUUGUCCAGAGGUGAAGGGGAGAAGGCUGCAGCGUGGACUCAAAGAGGAGAAACAAACAGCAAAGAAGCCUCUCCAAAAAUGCUUUACAAAACAAACAAGGGAGAAAAUGAAG